Long non-coding RNA from Oncorhynchus tshawytscha (Chinook salmon), 514 nucleotides. NCBI's taxonomy places the organism in Eukaryota, Metazoa, Chordata, Actinopteri, Salmoniformes, Salmonidae. The record is from Ensembl.
GUAGUAGUGGUACGGGUAGUAGGGGUGAGUAGUGGUACGGGUAGUAGGGGUGAUGGUAGUAGGGGUGAUGGUAGUAGUGGGGUGAGUAGUAGUGGUACGGGUAGUAGGGGUGAGUAGUGGUACGGGUAGUAGGGGUAUGGGUAGUAGGGGUGAGUAGUGGUACGGGUAGUAGGGGUGAUGGUAGUAGGGGUGAUGGUAGUAGGGGUGAUGGUAGUAGGGGUGAUGGUAGUAGUGGUACGGGUAGUAGGGGUGAGUAGUGGUACGGGUAGUAGGGGUAUGGGUAGUAGGGGUGAGUAGUGGUACGGGUAGUAGGGGUGAUGGUAGUAGGGGUGAUGGUAGUAUUGGUACGGGUAGUAGGGGUGAUGGUAGUAGGGGUGAUGGUAGUAGGGGUACGGGUAGUAGGGGUGAUGGUAGUAGUGGUGAUGGUAGUAGGGGUACGGGUAGUAGGGGUGAUGAUAGUAGUGGUAUGGGUAGUAGGGGUGAUGGUAGUAGGGGUGAUGAUAGUAGGGGUAUG